ACGCCUAUAUUAGGGGCGUCGGGUAACCGACUAUGGCGAUACAGGGCGCGUGAAAUAGGCGUUUUGGACCCGGGGGCAGUGCCCGGCGCCUCCACCACUCAGGCCUUUCCGAGGCCGGCAUGAGGGGGCGAAACAGGCUCGACAUGCGUAGUAAAGACGUUAGCUUUCGCUCGGCAUGAUACCGCCGUUAUCGGGUCAUCUUCACAAGUGCCAAUGAUAACGAUUUGGCCCUCGCUGCUUAACAUCUAAGCAAGCGCGGUUCGGGGGGCACCGGGCAACAGAAGCCCCCCAC
RNAcentral lists this transfer-messenger RNA (292 nucleotides) under marine eukaryotic metagenome. Its description in RNAcentral is "Alphaproteobacteria transfer-messenger RNA". It matches the Rfam family "Alphaproteobacteria transfer-messenger RNA". From Rfam's summary of the family: Bacterial tmRNA, also known as 10Sa RNA or SsrA, is named for its dual tRNA and mRNA-like properties. Its role is to liberate the mRNA from a stalled ribosome. The record is from RNAcentral.